RNAcentral lists this ribosomal RNA (486 nucleotides) under uncultured bacterium. RNAcentral's name for it is "partial 16S ribosomal RNA". It matches the Rfam family "Bacterial small subunit ribosomal RNA", at positions 28 to 523 of the family's 1533-position model. The record is from RNAcentral.
GAUGAACGCUGGCGGCGUGCCUAACACAUGCAAGUCGAACGGAGUUUUAUGAAGUUUUCGGACGGAAUAAAACUUAGUGGCGGACGGGUGAGUAACGCGUGGGUAACCUGCCUCAUACAGGGGGAUAACAGUUGGAAACGGCUGCUAAAACCGCAUAAGCAUACAUUGUCGCCUGGCAGAGUGUGAAAAUAUCUAUAGGUAUGAGAUGGGCCCGCGUCUGAUUAGCUAGUUGGUAAGGUAACGGCUUACCAAGGCGACGAUCAGUAGCCGGCUUGAGAGAGUGACCGGCCACAUUGGGACUGAGACACGGCCCAAACUCCUACGGGAGGCAGCAGUGGGGAAUAUUGCACAAUGGGGGAAACCCUGAUGCAGCGACGCCGCGUGAGUGAAGGAGUAUUUCGGUAUGUAAAGCUCUAUCAGCAGGGAAGAAAAUGACGGUACCUGACUAAGAAGCCCCGGCUAACUACGUGCCAGCAGCCGCCGUAA